CAUCUCUCUGGUGCCUGCUCUGAAAAUCUGGAAGACCACCUUUUCUUAGCAUCCAGAACAAAUGCAUAUUUACUUUUUCCUCAUGAAGCAGCUUGUGUCAGAUUCACAAAAGGUUUAGAGUCACAGAUUCUGGCUGCGCCCAGCAAGCCAAAAAGCAAUACUGGACUCCUCUGGACCCCUCACUGGCAAAGGCUGGGAAGAAGCUAUCAGCCGAGGCACCGCUGUAAUCCUAGGGAAGACCGCCUCACCAGAGGGCCCCACAGAAACCUUCAGUCUUCUUAAAACCUUCUGAUCCUGUGCCCUUCCAGAAGUCCUGGGAACUGGUCAAGACUGCAGCAGAUGCCCAGCUCACUGGAGGACAACAGAGCUGCACAUGUCACCCUCAUCUUCUGCUUUUCCUCCUUGCAGCCCUACCUCUACCACUCCUGGUUGACUGGGGUUUCUAAGGAUGAUGAAUUUUUAGAGGAUGGAUGGGUUUUAUGAACAUCCUCUCAUUAUCCGCAUGAAGAGAAUCCUCCUCUAGACAAAAUCCACACGUGGGAAGAAAUUCAUUGUUCCAGUCAGUUUCUGGGAAGCGGAACGGCAACGAACGAACUAGAACAGGAUGAGAGAAAUGGAAAAAUACUCUCAUCAUGCUGAGGAUGCUGAACUGAGCUCUUCCUGGUCUGCACAGGGAACCUGCUUACACUGAAAGAAAAUUUGCUUUUUCUUGUACCCAGAAUCUUCUCAUAAUUCCAGUAAUGAAAAGUCAAUACUCUUUGGCGUAACAAAGUCCAAGCUCCUGAGUCACAAGCAAUCAGAACAGGGAAACCCUGCUGCCUUUUAUUCUUAAGUUUCAUCGCGGGGAGCACUGGUAUUUGUUUUGCAGAAUGAGCAGCAUAAGGAAGGCUGCAAUUUGAGGAAUAACACUAUGCACAAUCCCCAGUUAACUGACUGACCAAAGAGCAUCUGGAAACCACCCGCCUUUAGUCACAAUGAGUACAUUGCUCUAGGUUUCCUUGGAAUGUGCUAAAAUGCAAGGGUAUAUUCCCAUUUUGAUGAUGAGGGAUUUGUUAUAUCACACUCCUUUCAAGUGCUAAUGGGAGUCACAUGCUGAGCUACUUAGGCAUGCAGACAAUGGUGUAGACUACUUCAUGUAAAGCCACUUAAAAUACAUUAGUCCUUUCCUGACACUGGGAACUUGAUUUUGACCUCAAUCAUUAACUCAUCAUUGCCUACAUGACUUGUGUAUUUUGGGGCAGUAACUGAUUUCUGGAGUUCACGAAAGAUAUGCAUGUUACUGUGUGAAUGACUUUACAGAGGUCUUCUUGUUAGGUAUUAGGUCUCCACAAAAUGUAAUCUUUCACUUAUUGCAGUAAAUAAAAGUUUGAAUGACCUGCACCAGGGAUGAAGAACAAGUCACCGCAAGGCAAAGAAAACAGUAGGGCCUGGGAGUGUGUGGCUGACAAGUUUAAAAGGUUAUCCUAGCAGUAGUAUCCUAGCAGCAAAAGAAAUCAUGGUAUUCAAAAGGCUUAUUUACACCAUUAUACAGACUGUUAUUUAAAAUGUGGAGGCUAUACAUGGUACCAGUCCUUUCAUAAAUACAAUGUUGAAGCAUUUUGUCUCAGGAGUUAUCCAAGGGUUUCUCACACUUACUCCCUCAGCACUCAGUGCAGCUUGCCUGCCUCUUCUCCUGUGAGCCAGUUAAACAACCUGUACACUGGACCUUCUGGAAAGUGGUUUCCUCUAAACUUGCAACCUAUUUCCUCUCCCUAAAGGAGAAAUAGCUUCCCUCCCUUAUGCUGGUCUAGGCUUGGAAAUGAGAAGGACAUGAGGUUCCUAAUAGGUAAACACUGGAGCAGCAAUUCACUCUCCUCACAGAAUGGGGGAAGCACUGUUUGUGCAGUGAAGGACUCAAGCAACUAACUUAACUAACUUCACUUAUUCAGUGCUUAUAGGACCAGGUGAACUUACGCUGCCUGAGCUGCAAGAAUAUUUUAUGCCAUUUGCCUGUGUUUACCCACAAGUAGGAAGAAUGCAGAGUGAGGAGUGGAUUUCACUUGGGUCAUUCAGUUGUUCACAACCUUCAAAUGUGCUUUGAAGAAGAAAGAUUGGUUCUUGACUUUCACAUAAAGAAAAUCCUUCCUUCCUCUGUCCUCACAGUCUGUUAUUUUCCUAAAGCAGCCAAAUGCAUUAUUGUGUAUCUGGAAUUUAAUAUUUGGCUGAUGUCUUUCUCUAUGUGACAGAACAGUCUUAAUACUUUGCAAGCUAUUCUGAAGCAUGGGCUCAUUCAUGCUGUGGCUACAUUUGGCCUGCCUAUUUCCUCAUGGACUCAAUUUUUAAAAUAGAUAUUUUGGCACUCAAAUAACAUUCCAUGGCAUCCACUGAAACAGUAUUUAUAUUUCCUGCGAAAUUAGGCAUAAUAUUUUUUGCUGAGUGUCAGCAAGUAAGACACACUGCAGGGCUGACAGAUCCAUGAUCAUGAAGCAAGUGCUUCAAAAUGGUACCAUGAAGAUUUUGUGUGAAAGAGAGGUGGGUUUGCACCUUUUUUUCAGGCUGUGAAUCUUGUCCUGUUGAUGCCAAUUA
Dromaius novaehollandiae (emu) is the source of this 2565-nucleotide long non-coding RNA. RefSeq lists it as uncharacterized. NCBI's taxonomy places the organism in Eukaryota, Metazoa, Chordata, Aves, Casuariiformes, Dromaiidae. The transcript has 3 exons. The record is from RefSeq and is a predicted model, not a curated record.